This 119-nucleotide ribosomal RNA is filed under the name Lupinus angustifolius (narrow-leaved blue lupine). The record is from RNAcentral. Lineage: Eukaryota; Viridiplantae; Streptophyta; Magnoliopsida; Fabales; Fabaceae.
AGGUGUGAUCAUACCAGCACUAGGAUGUGUGAUCAUAUCAGAACUCCCCAUAUAAGCGUGCUUGGGCGAGUGUAGUACUAGGAUGGGUGACCUCCUGAGAAGUUCUCGUGUUGCACCUC